Molecule: non-coding RNA, 26 nt
Filed under: Cricetulus griseus (Chinese hamster)
Lineage: Eukaryota; Metazoa; Chordata; Mammalia; Rodentia; Cricetidae
Source: RNAcentral
CAGUGACUGGAAUCAAUGAAACUUCU